UUAAUUUAUCAGAGUUAUACCAACUUAAUUCAUUAAAGAAAUAAUGUUUAAUUUUUUAAAGAUAAAUAGUUAUUUAAAAUGAAAUAUGAUAAAUAAAAAUAAAAAGUUUAAGUCUUAUAUAAAAUAAAACACAAAUAUAUGAAAAUAUGACAUUUACUAAAUAUUUGAUUGAAAAAAAAAUAAAUAAACAUGCGCUUUGAAUUGUUCAAAUAUUUAGUAACUAGUAAUAUUCUUCAAAUUGUUGAAUAUAUUAACUAGUAAUAGAACGAACAAUUGUUGCAUUCUGCAACCAAAAUCAAAUAAAAUAAUAAAAUAGUUUACAUAAACAUUUUAUAUAAACUAAAAUGUGAUCUUAUUAUUUACGGGCUUGUUGGUUUGUCUUACAAUAGCAACAAUAUCAAGAAGAACACGGCAAUAACAUGAACAGAUAUAAACAAAUUUGUUUGUGUGAAAGGCAAACCUUUUCAUCUAAUUUUGUUUUGGAUUUUUAUCCAAACACAUAAAAAUUUUCCUAAUAUUUUAUGCUUUUAACGCUUCAUUUGAAUAUCUUCUAAAAUUUGUAACCAUGUAACUGUUUAUAACUAUUUUUUGCCACCAUUUUAUUAGUUGAUUAGUGAAAAUUAUAUUUUAAGAAAUGCAUGGUAGAGACUAUUUAUAGAUUUUUAAAAUCUAUUUGAAUAGUUACAACUCUUCAAUUUGAAUAGUCGUAUUCUUCCAAUUUAAAUAUAGUUAUUUUGUAAAGAUACUUAUAAGAAUAGUCACAUUUUUUUCAUUUUUUAAAAGAUACAUAUAUAUGAAUAAUCACAAUCUUUAGACAAUUUUUAGAAAAGAUAGUACAACUUUCCAAUAUUUUUGUAAAAGACACAACCUUUUAAAUAUUUUCUUACAAAAGACAACCUUUCAAUCAAUUUUUAGAAAAGAUACAACCUUGCAACAUUUUUGUAAAAGAUACAACAUUUUAAACAUUUUUUACAAAAGACACAAUCUUUCAAUAUAAGUGGAUUCAUAACUUUUGGAAUUAAUUGAGAUUGCUAUUAUUAAUAGAUCUAGUUUUAAAUUGUAAAGCUUAAACUAGAUUUUGACCCGCGCUUAGAAAGCGCAGAUUUAUUUUUUGAAUUUAAUAAUUUUUAAUAUAAAUUUUUAUAUAAGAUAGUUUAAGUUUGGUAUUGAAAAAAUGAAACCAAACUUGAACCAAAAUUUAUAAAUAACCGAACAUAUCAUAUAUCUCUAGAUCCAAGAUAAAUAGAUACCUGAAUUUUUAAAAUAUAAAUUAUAUACAUACAAAUAUUAAUUAUAUGUAAUUUCUAAAUAACCAAAUAUCUUAAAUAUACUAUAUACUAUUUAUAAGCUGAAUUAUCCAAUAAAAAUAAAUUACUCAAACAUUUUUUUCAAAUAUUAAAAAAAUAUCUUAAUAAGUCCUCAACAUUCGGUCUAAUUUUCCACUAAAAAGAACCAAAACACCAAUAAGUGGUAUCCACAGUCAAACCAGUAAACGCAGUCACCAUAUAUAAUCUAGUUUCAAUUUAAUAAAAAUCCAUUAUUUAAAAUCCUUAAAAAUCUAAAACCCAUAUUAACUCGUGAAUCUAUACCAGAUGACAUGGUAAAAUCUAAAAUAACUUGAUAAUAUUUUUCAAAAUUUGAAUAAAUUUCUCAUAUAAAUUUUACUAAGAUAUAAAAUUGAAUAAACUACAUUUUUUUAUGUUAUACAUUCUAGUUUAUAGGUUUUAUAAUGACUAUAUUAAGAUUAAAUUUUUGAGUUUUAGAAAUAAAAUUAUUAUUAAGUUGAGUAUAGUUUAGUUACCUAUAAAUGUUAAAAAUAAAUAAUAUAUUUUAUUUAAACAUAAAAAACGAUCUAAAAAUGCUAUAAUUUCCUGAGAAAAUAUUUAUACAAAACCCUUUCUCCUAAUAAAUCCAGUUGUAAAAGAUUUUCAUCACAAAAAAAUAACCUAGGAAGGUUUUGAAAUAUAAUUAAGCUUGUUGUUGUACUGUAAAGUAUUUCUCUAAUCGUAAUUGGAAGUUAAUAUGUUUUGACCGUCGAAUGGUAUCAUGUUUUUAACUUUCUGUUAACCGUACUUGCAUCAUGUUUUUAUGUUAGUUUGGGUCAUAAAACAUUUAAUAUGAAUUAAAAGUAUGGUAUUGUUCAGACUUUAAUUACCAAUAAAUCCAAAUGUUUAUAUAAUAACUACUUUUGUUAAAGAAAAAUGAUCGUGGGUUGUAUGAUUAUUAAAUCAGUUAUAAAAUAAUCUGUUUUUUUUUAAUAGGUUUAGUGACACAAAAGUAAUAUUCCAAAGAAAAAUAGGGGUAAAAUAUAUCAAUGAUUCUGAAUUAAUAAUAUUGAUGUAUAAAUCUUUGGUGUAUUAUAGUAAGUUGAGUAUUAUUAAAUAAGAGCAUUGGUUAUUUUAUAGUUAGAGAAAUAUAAGGUAAUUGAUUAGUGUAUAGUUAGAAAAAUAUAUGGUGAGACCAAAAAAAUAGUUAAGUCUAGUGAAUAGGUUCAACAACCUUUUAUAAGUAGAUUUUUUGGAACUCCUUCCCUUUUAAUAGUAUAGAUGUUAAAGAUAUAAGAGCACCAAACAUGGCAAGCACUUAUAAAUCAUGUUGUUGUGCUCAUGCUCAAAAAAAAAACUAGUUCUAUAACAACCAGAUUAAUCAAUUUCAACCUAAUAAAGAUUCAGUUGAAUAGAAUAUACGCAAAUGUUACAGAUCAUUACCAACCAGGAGCUUAACUGUGAUCUUUACUAAAAUAACCUCACUGACCACGAUUGCAUAGCCUCAAAUUUGUGUAAUUAGUGUGUUUACCCUAUUAGUAUUAGGCCAUUUUAAAACUCUUGUCAUGUCAUAUGACAUUUUAAAGAUCUUUGAGAAGUUUGGUGUAGUAGUGACUACUACAUUUUGAAAAUUUCUUUGUUUAUUUCCUAUCUCCAACUUCUAAUUACGGAAGCUGGAGAUUGAUUCCUACAUGACUUUAAGUUUCAUGAUGGACCUAUCCGUUCCCUAGACUUCCACCCUCUUGAGUUUCUCCUAGCCACUGGUUCUGCUGACAGGACUGUGAAGUUCUGAGAUUUGGAAACGUUUGAAUUGAUUGGAUCUACUAGACCAGAGGUAACUGAGCUUGUGAAGUUUUGUUCUACUAGAUUUGAUGUCUAUUGACUUAUAACAUGACUUGUUGUGGAGAUAGGGUGUCGUUUGUCUCUCUUGAAAGAAGACCUCAUACAUUGACAAAUUUAUAAUUAUAUUUGUAACAAGAGCAGUCGGCAAAUAAUCUGACAUAGUACUAAUUUAUAUUUGGAUACACUUCGUAAUAUGUAACAAAACUAAUCUUCUUCCUGGCAUGUGGUGUCCCUUGUUUCACAGGCUACUGGAGUUCGUUCAAUUGCUUUUCAUCCAGAUGGACAAACCCUUUUCUGUGGAUUGGAUGAUGGCUUGAAGGUUUUUUAUUGUCUUUGAGAUAAACUAGACAGCUUAGAUGUUGAUAUCACAAGUUCAUGGUCAUAAAUGCCAACCAGUGAUAUGCCGGGAUAGUGUUUGGGUUUGGGUCUGAGAUAUAUCGGUAUGUCACCUAUUGCACUAGUCCAUAAGUUCUGUGAAAGAUGAAUCUUGAACGUUUUUGAAACUGUUUGUGUUGGUUUGCUCCAGAAACUUGAGCCAUUGGAGCUCAAUCUGAGGAUGGGAAUGAAUGCAUAGUGAAAAGAUUGAGUGUCUUGGAUGACCAGUCGUCUUAGAGAAUGGGGAGUACCUCAAGGGGGCAGUUCAUCCCCAGAUUAUGAGACAAUAGGGAUAAAGAACAUAUACGUUGACUGUGAGUGAAACUGAAUGAACAUACAUUGUCUUGAUCACAUCUAACCGUUUUUUUUCUUCUUUAUUGCAUGAAACAAAGCAGUCUUGAACAUACAUUGUCUUUGAUGUCAGUUUCUGUGCCUUUUCUUCUUUUAAAGCUAUAGGUGGAAAUUUGAAAGGGGCUAUUAGAGCGAGAAGCAGAAUGCAACAACAUGUUUUGGACAUGCAGAGGACAAGUCUUCCAGAACGCAUAAUGUUGGAUCGCUGGAUAGUGAGUGGGGAAGAAUAUGUUUGAACUAAAAGACAUAUCUGGAAGAGCAACGAGACUGUAGCUACCUAAUCAACUACUAGGAGAUGCUCCCAGUCCUCAAGAGAGAAUCUCUGGUCACAUUUUCCAAAGGCACAUGCUACCAUUUUUUUCUUCUUUUCCUGCAAGAGUUUGUCAAGAGUUUUGUGUCAGCUUAUAAUAAUAAUAUAUCACAAGGUGAACCAAAAAGCAUAGAACAUUUACCUGAAGCUUUAGCAAACGAUC
This is a long non-coding RNA of Brassica rapa (field mustard), 4306 nucleotides long. RefSeq lists it as uncharacterized. Lineage: Eukaryota; Viridiplantae; Streptophyta; Magnoliopsida; Brassicales; Brassicaceae. The record is from RefSeq and is a predicted model, not a curated record.